This 406-nucleotide ribosomal RNA is filed under the name uncultured bacterium. RNAcentral's name for it is "partial 16S ribosomal RNA". It matches the Rfam family "Bacterial small subunit ribosomal RNA", at positions 29 to 526 of the family's 1533-position model. The record is from RNAcentral.
AUUGAACGCUGGCGGCAGGCCUAACACAUGCAAGUCGAGCGAGCGGCGGACGGGUGAGUAAUGUAUGGGAAUCUGGCCGAUAGAGGGGGAUAACUACUGGAAACGGUAGCUAAUACCGCAUACUAUAGGAUGAGCCCAUCUGGGAUUAGCUAGUAGGUGGGGUAAAGGCUCACCAAGGCGACGAUCUCGAGCUGGUCUGAGAGGAUGAUCAGCCAGACUGGGACUGAGACACGGCCCAGACGCCUACGGGAGGCAGCAGUGGGGAAUAUUGCACAAGGGGCGCAAGCCUGACGCAGCCAUGCCGCGUGUAUGAAGAAGGCCUUAGGGUUGUAAAGUACUUUCAGUGGGGAGGCGUUACCCGCAGAAGAAGCACCGGCUAACUCCGUGCCAGCAGCCGCGGUAAUAC